CUAAAAUGUGUAAAAUGAAGUUGCACCCUGACCACCUUGGACAUAUGUUCUCAGGACCUCCCAGGGGCUGUGUCAUGGGCCAUGAGCACUCAGGUUUGGUUCAGAAUAACUCUCUUCAAAUAUUUUACAUAGUUUGACUCUUUUUUGUCGACACUUUGCGCAUCCCCUUGACUGUGCUGUAACUGGAGAAGGACACCCGCUCGCCCCUCAAGGACUGCAUCACUCUCCAGCACUCCUCCUCUUCUUAUAACUCUUGGUGAUUUCCAUUUCCAGGGGGUGAUCCUGCAAAACCUUGGCCUGCUCUCUUUUGAUGGUCUUGACCUCAAAACUACCCCAGCCCUCCUCUCCCAUGGCCACACCCUAGAUAUUGUGGCCCAUAACCAUAAAGUCUUCUCUCUCCAUGAACACAAUUCCAAGUGGCCAACCAGCAGCUGUGACCUCCUUGACAGAGCAGGAGUAUCGCCAUCUUGGACGAGCACUGCCAUUUUAAGUUCACCCUGAUCAAAAACCGCCUAAAUCCAAAGGGCAUCAGCCUAAUGGCUCAGGUAUUAUGGUGGGCACCAAACAUUCUCAGCAGCAUAUGCCAGUUCCUCAAGUCUUCUCUUCAUUAGACCAAUGUCCGCAGGCCCCCAGUUUUUCCCAACAGGAUGUGGACCACAGAUCAGCCAUGUCCUGGCAUCUUCACCUGGUGCUUCUGUCCAUGUCUUCUUGUCCCUGGAAAGCAUGUUCUCUGAGAGCAGAGAUUGUGUUUCCUGCAUCUCUGUCUCCUGUUGCUCAGCACAGAACUGGUACCACAGGAAUAGAUGGUGAAUGUCUCAUACCCACUUUGGAUCCAGAGCAGGCCUAGGAGAGACUCAGGUUGACGCACAGUUUGGAGCAAGAAUUAAAGAACCACGAACUUCAAGGUAAAACGGGCAACGGCGUUGGGGCAAGCCUCUCUGCAGCCAGCGUGUCCAGCCUCUCCUGCGUGCCAGAAGUCCCCAGGCAGGAGUGUGGUGGGACAUCCGGCUGGGGUAAGGACAGGCACCCUCCCACUGUGUCAGGGCCCAGAGAGUGGGUGGAGAAGCUCUGCAAGAGACCUGUGCAAGGGCGCCUUGGAGGAGCCUGCAGUCCCCACAGGGGUGUUUGUGGAUAACACUUGGGGAGCCCUAGCCUUUUGGGGUCACGGAGGGCUUGGCCUCUCACCUCAGAGCUGCGGAGGAGCCGCUUCUACAUCAGGACAUCAGAAGCUAGAACGGGAUGGCCGGCGAGGGGCCUCUUGUUGGGGUCACAGAGAUGGGUCGCAGAGAUGACCCGUGUGGAAGAUUGGAUUCUCACCCCACCUCUGCCCCUAGAUGUCCUGGCGACCCUCCCCUCUGUAGUCUUGGUUUUCUGCAAAACAGUUAUGACCUCCUGCCAUACUGGGUCCUUUGCUUAUGUAUUGUGUUUACUCUUUACUGUGUGU
This is a long non-coding RNA of Symphalangus syndactylus (siamang), 1444 nucleotides long. RefSeq lists it as uncharacterized. The record is from RefSeq and is a predicted model, not a curated record. Lineage: Eukaryota; Metazoa; Chordata; Mammalia; Primates; Hylobatidae.